This is a long non-coding RNA of Numida meleagris (helmeted guineafowl), 3243 nucleotides long. RefSeq lists it as uncharacterized. The record is from RefSeq and is a predicted model, not a curated record. The transcript has 4 exons. Lineage: Eukaryota; Metazoa; Chordata; Aves; Galliformes; Numididae.
GAAGAAAGGCAGGUGGGUGAGAGGUGCUGGGGCAGCCGGCUCACUCCUAACAGCCUGCAUCCAUUUUCUCUUCAGGUUGCUUUCGAUGGGGAAAAAUAGGCUAGACCUCAAAAUGGAGCCUGUUUCUGCAAAGGAAGCUGCUAUCGACAGCCUUUGUGCCUCGUUGUCUGUGGUUCUUUAAGGACUUUAUUGCAGAGCCCAGGAGCUGGCUGAGGACCCGUGUGGCGCCCUGUGCUACACCCCCACGCAGAGUGCGCUCAUCCAAGGGGCAGAGAAGGACUCCAGCAAGAAGUGAGCAUUCAAGUGUUUUAAAAAGCAGCAGCAUUAGUCAGCCUAACUGGCAAGAUUCAAACACCUGAGGAACAGUGCCCUUCGUUGAAAACCAAGGCUGGCCACCAGAAGGUCCGUGCCAGUGCCUUGCAUUGCUAUGAAGGCUCCCAGCAUCACCAGUUUUCCAUGGGAAAGCAAAGUGCCUCGCUUGCAGCCGUGCAUCAGAAAAGAGGUAGAGGACCAUGUCCAGAUUGCUCCAGCCAAAAGAAAUCUGCCUGCCUGCUCUGAUGCAGAUCUGCUGAAUGGACUUAUGGGAAUAAAUGUCCUGUUAAGGGCUGGCCUGAAGGACUUGGAGAUGCUUUCAAAUGAAUAAAAUAGCAGGUAUGUUUCAACUGUAACACUGACUUGGACCAAAAAAAACCAUACUUAACAUAAGAAAUGCGCAUUUCAGAUGAUGGCUGUUUGACCAUGGCCUUCUGAAAUUUUGUAUCAUGGAAGAAAGAGCAGACUGUUGUAUAACUGCCAGCUGCAUGGACUUCUCUGUCCUUCUUCAAUCUAUACAGUAUGGGACACUGUUUAAGAACUGCUUUAGAUGGAUGACUGUGCUUUCUCGGUAUUACAGAAUUCAAAUACUUGGCACAUUUUAAAUGUGUCUUCGUGUGGUCAUUCGUUUUUUUGCUGGUAAUGUGUUUUCUUUUACGCACUUAUUCCGUUUUGUGAACUUAUGUAGCUCAGAGAAAUGAGCAACCUCAAGGCACACAUGCUCCUUGCAGAGUACAGGACCCAAUCCAGUACACAUUGUAGGAAAAACUUCUGAAUCCUUUGGCCCCAUCUCUAAAAGAAAGUUCAAGUUUCCGAUCUAUGACAGCUGUUAGUACUCCAUUGAACAUUCCAUGUUCGAACCUGUACUUUGAAAAUUUGCGUCAGCUUUGCCACAAGCUUCAUGAGCCAGAUCUGGGCACUGCUGCCCACCAGAUAGAGCGGACUCAAAUGUGCCCCUGGGUCUGGAUGGCAGAACUGCCUGCACCAUGUGCCACACACUGAUGAAGCACAACAUAUCCAUUCUAUGCUCCGGUGACCUUUCAACCACAAAGCAUAGUUCUGCAAUGGCAAUGAAUACUGAUGAGGAGUAGGAACCUUCCUGUGCACCCAGGAGUAAUUUUUCCAACCUGGCAUCCUAAGGAAUGAAGCUGAUAUGACUGAUAACACAUUGCCUGUUCAUCUGCAUCCUACCGUAACUUCUGAGCCCCCUGGUCAAUUCUGAACAAAUUUAAUAGAUUGAAAGAAAUUUCCUGUAAGUUGCCUGGAAAUAAACAGUCAAGUAAAGGAAAACAGUUAUGUGAAUGUUUCCAGUGAGGAGAAGAUUGCAGCCUGAGCUCAAAUUUUAUUGCACAUUAUAAAAUCUACUCCACAGAGAGCUAGUAUGUGUGUCUUGAGUAUGAAAAAUCUUCAUUCAGAACACGCACCUAUCACAGGUCAUUUAAUUCCAACGUGAGACAGAAACCAUAAUCAAUUAGUAAUGCUGAUCCUUAAACUACUGAUGUUUAUCUGUCAAUGCAAAUUUUGUAUGACGUCUAUCGCAUCUUUUGGCAUCUUUUUUGGUACUAGACUGCACGUAGCGAAUUGAUUGUUUUAAAAUGCAUAUUGUAAAUAUUUUAUAUGGCUCUCAACCUGAUAAGGCAGUGACAGGGAAUGCCUGGUAUUUGGGGCAUCCUGGAGGGGUGAAAAUAAAUGAUGGGUCUCACCCCAGUGGUGCCCUUUGAAGAGACCCUCGUUAGCCAGAUAAUGCUAUGGGACAGUUGUGGUUAAAUCCCAGCGGGCCUUUUGGAGUGUCAUCCACAAAAGCUUUGCUGAGAGCUGAAGUAAUUAGUUCCAGCUGAGCACACAGGCACAUAACUUUAGAAAGGUCUGGCUACUUUCAUGCUAAGAGGGGAAAAAAACAAAGGUAUUUCUGUCCAGAAGGCAGGAUAACAUGCUCUGGAAAUGGAGAACAGCCUUUCUUAUUUUGUUUGGUGCUCAGCUAGGUGUGUGUUAAGGGGCAUAAGGUCUGGAGCUUCAGGGUGGAAUUGCAUUCACCGCAUGCAAAAAUUACGCUUUCCUAUUCACCGAGUAGCAGAAUUCCUACAGAACACUCUGCAGAAGUUUCUCAGCUUCACAAGGAAGGCCUCCGAGGGCACUUUUCAGCAGCCCAAGAGCUGACCUUCCUACAGGUGUUCACUGUGUGCUAGACAGUUCCCAGGGACAUAUGUAAAGCUCUCUCUUGGGAGGUUUUCAUAAAGCUUCUAAUCUAAACACCGGUAUCGCUGUGGUUUUUAUGUAUAUCUUUGUGUGUUCUGGCACCUGAUAAAAAUUGCAUUUUUGGGGAGUGAAUGUCACCUGGUGAUACCACAGCUUCCACUGAGGAUGUGCAUGGAGCGGAGUUCAUCCCCGGGUUAUAUGUGGGCUAUUCUUUUUUUUUUCUUUUUCUCCGAGAAACUCCAGGAAACACAUCUGAAAAACUCCCCUCUUGUGCUUCUUGUUUGGAUUUCUUCCCACUAUAAAAGGUACUAGUUAAAGCCCAGCUGUGCUCAGAAAAGUGACAGCUCAGCAGCUGAACUCCUGUUGUGUACAGAACGGUGAAAGCACAAAACUGCAGGCGCGCUCUUGGCCAAGUAUUGAUGAAGCAGACAUGCGGGUCCAUUGUUAGAGUGAGCACUAGUGACUCUUAAAUGCCAUCAGAUGGUUAAGGAUAGCCAGUUAGGGCUUAAUGGCUCCUCUCAGGGUUCUGGGAAACAAACUCGUAAAAAGCAGCAGAGGCCCUAUUGCAUUGCUCUGGUUUUCGAGAGGCCACAGUGGCAUUGGGCUGAGCGUGCUGCAGGGAGGUUCCCUGAGACAAACAGGUCCGGCUGAGCAAGGCUCUGCCCUUGGUGUGGGCUAGGUCAAUGCUUUUUCAGUAGGCACAGCGGGGUCCUGGGAUUUACUGCAAGCUUCUAA